Molecule: non-coding RNA, 93 nt
Organism: Mycena rebaudengoi
Lineage: Eukaryota; Fungi; Basidiomycota; Agaricomycetes; Agaricales; Mycenaceae
Source: the annotation of a GenBank genome assembly
GCCCUUGUUGAUUAAUGGAAAUCCCUCACUGUCUUUGGUGUCGAGCCUAGGCUUUCUAAGUGGGAGACGGAGGUUCGAAUCCUCCCAAGGGCA